UGGGGAAUAUUGGGCAAUGGGGGAAACCCUGACCCAGCAACGCCGCGUGAAGGAUGAAGUAUUUCGGUAUGUAAACUUCGAAAGAAUAGGAAGAAUAAAUGACGGUACUAUUUAUAAGGUCCGGCUAACUACGUGCCAGCAGCCGCGGUAAUACGUAGGGACCAAGCGUUGUUCGGAUUUACUGGGCGUAAAGGGCGCGUAGGCGGCAUGACAAGUCACUUGUGAAAUCUCUGGGCUUAACCCAGAACGGCCAAGUGAUACUGUCGCGCUAGAGUGCAGAAGGGGCAAUCGGAAUUCUUGGUGUAGCGGUGAAAUGCGUAGAUAUCAAGAGGAACACCUGAGGUGAAGACGGGUUGCUGGGCUGACACUGACGCUGAGGCGCGAAAGCCAGGGGAGCAAACGGGAUUAGAUACCCUAGUAGUCCCUGAGCGGGCUGGCAAGGCGCAU
RNAcentral lists this ribosomal RNA (447 nucleotides) under uncultured bacterium. RNAcentral describes it as "bacterial SSU rRNA". It matches the Rfam family "Bacterial small subunit ribosomal RNA", at positions 355 to 825 of the family's 1533-position model. The record is from RNAcentral.